Molecule: long non-coding RNA, 915 nt
Organism: Bombyx mori (domestic silkworm)
Lineage: Eukaryota; Metazoa; Arthropoda; Insecta; Lepidoptera; Bombycidae
Exons: 2
Source: RefSeq, a predicted model, not a curated record
AAUAUGGCGCGCGUCUCGUAGCUGUCACUCUGCUUAUUUGUUAUUUAGUUAAUUGGAUUUAAUAAUAAACACCACAGAGAUUCGGUACUUACUCAUACAGCGACUUGAAUCAGAAAACCGUCAAAUAUAAAAACGAUAAACGAGUGUGAAGAUCGGUACUGUUUGGUUAAUUCACACUGGCACACGAGUUUUAUUGUUAAAAGAAGAAAAUAUAAAUAACAGAUGGACAUAACAAUAUUACGAAUGUGUAUGUAGUAUUUUUUUUGGAAAGAAUAAAAGAUUUUGUUGUUAAACUAAAUAUCCACUAAAUUUCGCAUCACCAUCGCACAUCUCGAACCUUAAAAAAUUACCCUAAUCUUAAAAAAAUAUUUGCUUCUAGAGCACGGAAAAAUAAUUUUCCAAAAUGGCGGUUCACACUCCACGUUUGCCCUCAUUAAUUAAAUCGUAAAUCAAUUAACGACAAGUCUCGCUUAAUUAGAAGCCGCGAUGUCAGGCGAACUUCGUCGUGGAACAUUAAACUGAAUCCAUGCUUUAACACCUAUAAAAUAUGUUUUGAAGGAUCGUUUGUUAUCGCGUAUCUUUUGGCUACAACUUUUCGAGGAAGUUGGAACGGAAAUUAUAUACAUUUUUAGGUGCCUAUACUAAAAAAAAGAUUUAUUAAAAAAAAUGCUGUGACGUAGUAAGUAAGCAUUUAUAUAAACAUGUAUCGUUUAAUUACGGGAAUUAUGGGGAGAGUAAUCAUACAUAAUCAUACUACGAAGGUUAAAAAAAAAAAUUGUAUUUCAAUAUAAAAAAGAACCUUUAAUGGCUUCUUUUUUAUUUUAUUUUGUGUAGGGCAUGUGAGGUAGUAAGUAAGCAUUUAUAUAAACAUGUAUCGUUUAAUUAUGGGGAGAGUAAUAAAUCAUAUUUCGAUGU